This is a non-coding RNA of Pelobates cultripes (western spadefoot toad), 234 nucleotides long. Lineage: Eukaryota; Metazoa; Chordata; Amphibia; Anura; Pelobatidae. The record is from the annotation of a GenBank genome assembly.
CCCGCCUCCUGCACCUCCCCAGCUUCAGCAGGGCCUCCCUGGGGCCUCCGCCCUGUCUUGCCUCAUCCUCCUCCGGCCACUUACAUGUUGCCGGCGUGUGCCCUCCGGCCACCGGUCCGCCGGCGGGCCCGUGCUUCUCAGCUCCAUCGGGCUCACAGAGUUGGGGGCUGUUUCUUCCCGGACCACCACCCAAUCCGGGUUUCAGAGCCGGCUCUCCAUCGCCACGUCCGCCGC